Molecule: ribosomal RNA, 253 nt
Filed under: uncultured bacterium
Lineage: Bacteria
Description: partial 16S ribosomal RNA
Rfam family: Bacterial small subunit ribosomal RNA
Source: RNAcentral
UACGGGGGGGGCAAGCGUUGUUCGGAAUUCCUGGGCGUAAAGGGUGCGUAGGCGGCUUUCUAAGUUGGAUGUGAAAACUCUGGGCUCAACCCAGAGCCUGCAUCCAAAACUGGAGAGCUUGGGUACUGGAGGGGAAAGCGGAAUUCCUGGUGUAGCGGUGAAAUGCGUAGAUAUCAGGAGGAACACCGGUGGCGAAGGCGGCGAGCUGGUCCAUUACUGACGCUGAGGCGCGACAGCGUGGGGAGCAAACAGG